RNAcentral lists this ribosomal RNA (440 nucleotides) under uncultured bacterium. RNAcentral's name for it is "partial 16S ribosomal RNA". It matches the Rfam family "Bacterial small subunit ribosomal RNA", at positions 338 to 795 of the family's 1533-position model. The record is from RNAcentral.
CCUACGGGAGGCAGCAGUGGGGAAUAUUGCACAAUGGGGGAAACCCUGAUGCAGCGACGCCGCGUGAGUGAAGAAGUAAUUCGUUAUGGAAAGCUCUAUCUGCAGGGCAGCAAAUGACGGUACCUGAGUAAGAAGCCCCGGAUAACUACGGGACAGCUGCCGCGGCAACACGGAGGGGGCAAGCGUUAUCCGGAUUUACUGGGUGUUAAGGGAGCGUAGUGGGCAGUACCAGUCUGGAGUGAAAGGCGGGUGGACAACCCCCGGUCUGCUCUGGAAACUGUACGGCUGGAGUGCAGGAGAGGUAAGUGGAAUUCGUAGUGUAGCGGUGAAAUGCGUAGAUAUUAGGAGGAACACCAGUGGCGAAGGCGGCUUACUGGACUGUAACUGACGUUGAGGCUCGAAAGCGUGGGGAGCAAACAGGAUUAGAUACCCCAGUAGUC